RNAcentral lists this ribosomal RNA (226 nucleotides) under uncultured bacterium. RNAcentral describes it as "partial 16S ribosomal RNA". It matches the Rfam family "Bacterial small subunit ribosomal RNA", at positions 118 to 345 of the family's 1533-position model. The record is from RNAcentral.
UGAGCAAUCUGCCCUUCACAUCGGAAUAACCAUUGGAAACGAUGGCUAAUACCGAAUAUGACUUCGGAUCGCAUGAUCUGAAGUGGAAAGCUCCGGCGGUGAAGGAAUGAGCUCGCGGCCUAUCAGCUUGUUGGUGAGGUAAUAGCUCACCAAGGCGAUGACGGGUAGCCGGCCUGAGAGGGUGACCGGCCACACGUGGGACUUAGACGACGCCCGANACGUACCG